This is a long non-coding RNA of Sinocyclocheilus grahami, 414 nucleotides long. RefSeq lists it as uncharacterized. The record is from RefSeq and is a predicted model, not a curated record. Lineage: Eukaryota; Metazoa; Chordata; Actinopteri; Cypriniformes; Cyprinidae. The transcript has 2 exons.
AUAUGCACUUGCUCUGCAAACACGCAAACUGUUCUGUGCGCUCAGCGUCUCUGUCUCAUCACUGAACGGGGCUUUUUCUCUUCCUGCUCACGACAACAAGCAGGCUCGGUGGAGGAGAGCUGCACGAUCCAGUCGCGUGCAGGGACUUCUUGGUGUGAAUUUGAGGAGCAAUGUUUGCAACAGAUUAACAGAGUUGUGUUGAAGGCACGCGCACUAGUAGCGGGAAACACCUUGCUCUUUCGAGUCGAGACAUCUGGGAAGUGAAAUUUCAGAGUAGUUACAGGAAAUCAAUAAACAUACUUGAAACAGGGGUUAGCAGGUGUGAUUGGAGAGGUGAUGGAGUGGCGUCAGCAGUCUGCAGUCAGCUGUGAGCUGGCGUUCCAGGAGGCGCAGAGAUGGCUUGAGGUAAUGGCG